This 1050-nucleotide long non-coding RNA is filed under the name Chrysemys picta bellii (western painted turtle). Its description in RNAcentral is "lncRNA (ENSCPBG00000013024.1)". Lineage: Eukaryota; Metazoa; Chordata; Testudines; Emydidae. The record is from RNAcentral.
CGUUUUGUGGUGGACAAGACGCACUAUCAGUUCACAGCCCUCCUGUAUGGCUUGUGCACAGCCCCCCGCAUCUUUACCAAGUGCAUGGCGGUCAUGGCUGCCUUUCUUUGCCGAUAACACGUAUACGUCUUCCCGUACCUAGGCGACUGGCUUAUACGGGGCCGGUCUCACCAUCACGUCCAGUUGCAGGAACACCUACUCAUAGACACGUUCAUUCGCUUGGGUAUCAUGGUAAACCUCAGCAAGUCCAUCCUCGCCCCUACUCAAACAAUAGAGUUUAUAGGAGCAGUCCUGGAUGCAAACCAAGCGAGGGCUUUCCUUCUGGAAGCACGGCACCUGGCUAUAGCAGGCAUAAUUACCAGCCUCUGCAAAUUUCCCACGACCACAGCAAGGCAGUGCCUCAGGCUGCUGGGUCACAUGGUGUCCUGUACAUACGUGGUGCAACACGCCAGGCUAAGGCUCAGGCCGCUUCAGACAUGGUUGGCGUCUGCCUAUCAACCGGGACGCGACAGCCUAGAAAUGGUCCUCACGGUCCCAAAGUGCACACUCGACUCCCUGCAGUGGUUGCUGGGUCCUCAGAUGGUGGGUGCCGGGGUCCCGUUCCAUCCCCCCCAACCCACUUUAACUCUGGUUACAGACGCAUCUGCCCUGGGAUGGGGAGUCCACCUCGGCAGCCUGACAAUGCAGGGCUUAUGGCACGAGAGUGAGCUGUUGCUGCACAUCAAUAUCAGAGAGCUCAGGGCAAUCCGCCCUGCAUGCCAAGCGUUUCUUCCCCACUUGCGGGGCUACUGCAUAGCAGUCCUAACGGACAACACCAAGGCCAUGUUCUACCUGAACAAGCAAGGCGGAGCCCGGUCAUCGGGGCUCUGCCAAGAAGCCCUCUUUCUGUGGGACUUCUGCUUAGCCCACCUCAUCAUCCUUCAGGCCUCGUACCUGCCGGGUGUCCAAAACGUUCUGGCAGAUACUUUGAGCAGGCAUUUUCUGACUCACGAAUGGUCCAUACGCCCGGAUAUCAUUCAUUCCGUUUUCCGCACCUGGGGGUUUCGCCGA